CCACCAUUCGUCAAACUUUUAUGACCCCCUCCCCCACCCGUUGACAGGUCGUGUUUUAUGACCCCUUUGACAGGGGGGCGGGACCAUCAAUCAAAAUCUGUACAAGUUGUCAACUUUAGACAGAGAAUGUUUUAUCGUUUUAUGACGGGUCAUUUAGUGGUUUGUUUAUUCCUGAGUGUGUUUUAUGUCAAGCGUAUGCUGUCAUUAAACAUGACGGCUCGUGUUUGUGACAUUUGCUGUUUAUUGACAUUUGAUGUCAGCUCUCAACCAUACUCCCUUCUUUGCUCGCCCGUGCGCUUCUCAAUACUGCGUGUCACACCGCGGGUGUGUUGUUGAAUCUAAAGUUUUGCAACAGCAUAAGUUUAUUUAAAGGCAAUCACGAAUCAUAUAUAUAUAUUAGAUGUACCUGGCUACACUUAAAGCCGAUGUUUUCUAUCGAGCUAUAGUUUCUGAUCAGACACAAAGUCUGAACUAAAUAAAAUUUUAAACGGUUCAUGAAGUCCGGUUAUCUUUUCAUGACCUGGUCUAUAGUUUCACACGUAUUAAAGAUCCGGCGGUGUCUGACAAAGCGGCGGGUGAUCGUUCAUAUCUGUCAUUUUAAAAUAAAGUUAAUAAAUGUAAUUCUGUCCACUAUGGCAAAAUAGGAGUUUUAUUUAAGAUUUAGGGGAAUCUUUAACCAUGUCUCUGAUUAAAACUUUUGAUUGUAACAUCACAAGUUAUUUAAUUAAAUAUUCCGUAUACGGGUAUAGUUUAGGCAAUGACCUGAGCCAUUACCUUCGGAGCCGGCAAUACUACAAUCUUUAGACGAUAGUCUAAACUAAAUAAAUUUUUAAACGGUUCAGGAAUUCCGUGAAUCUUUUCAUAACCUGCACUAUAGUUUCACGCGUAUUAAAGAUCCGGAGGUGCCUGACAAAGUACCGGGUGAGCGUUCAUAUCUGCCAUUUUAAAAUAAUGUUAAUAAAUGUAAUUCUGUCCACUAUGGCAAAAUAGGAUUUUAUUUUAGAUUUAGGAGAAUCUUUAACCAAGUCUCUGAUUAAGACAUGUGUAUACGUGCACAGAUGGUGACAGAGAAACUUAUAUAUGACGUUAAUAAACUUUUAAAUGUUUUUAAGACGUAUUCACCCCAUUUUGGGGGUUUUAUUUUUAAAUAAAGGCUUCUUAAAACAUGUGUGAAUAUGUGUAUAUUAUACAAAGAGUCUUAUAUUGUCUGCUCUGACAAAAAUAAAGUAUUAUUCUAGACUUAGGGGAAUUGACUGCAUGUGUCUUAUAAAUACAACUUGAUAAUACGUUUGUUUUGUAAAGAGACUUCUUUAAAGUCACGCAAGAAUAAAAUAUUUUAGUUGUAACUGGUUAAACUUAAAGCCGAUAUUUUCUAUCGAACUAGUCUAUUUUCUGUACAGACACAAAGUUUUCUGAUGCUGAUAUUAUGUCAGUGUGUGUUUGUGUGGGGGUCGUGUGAUAUAAUCUUUGCAAAGUUUAUGACCGAACCUUUAUUGGGGAGCGACAAGAGAUCCCCCGGAAUCAGUUUGGAUGGAGCAGAGCUGUUAUACUCAAGUCUAUUGGUAUGUAUGUGUUUCGCUGUGUUCGUUCCAGUAUUUUGUCUGAUUUAUUUAAAAACUAAAAAUUCGAUCUCUGGUAUUGCAGCGAAAUUGUCUAAACUGGUAUUAACUAUUCCUGGUAAAUCGCGGAGAAGAGUGCCCUGAACAAAAAAGUCAGACCGAGACUAGAACCUCCCGCAGCGUAACACGGAAAUCUUGGAACAAAAGAGACGCCGACUGGCUCGUGUUGUCCGGUUUGGAUAUCAGAGGCAAAGCGAACGUUGUGUGUACUAUUGCAAAAUAUAUAGCGGAUCUCCACGGUUAGGAUACAGACCACAACGCUUUGGACGUAUCUUUAAAAAAGAUUAAAAUCAGAGACUUUUUGGAUUUGUCUGGGGACAUUUUAAACAUUUUGUGGCAAAUUGGAUUUAAAACAUUUCGGAUACUGGAUACCUAGUUUGAUUUGUCCACAGAGCUUGUUUAAGACGUUUUCACCGCAUUUUAGGGUUUAUUUUUAAUUAAAGGCUUCUUAAAACAUGUGUGAAAAUGUGUAUAUUAUACAAUGAGUCUUAUAUUGUCUGCUCUGACAAAAAUAAAUUAUUAUUUUAGAUUUUA
Molecule: non-coding RNA, 2153 nt
Organism: Paramisgurnus dabryanus
Lineage: Eukaryota; Metazoa; Chordata; Actinopteri; Cypriniformes; Cobitidae
Source: RefSeq, a predicted model, not a curated record